RNAcentral lists this long non-coding RNA (592 nucleotides) under Nicotiana benthamiana. Its description in RNAcentral is "long non-coding RNA (NBEN_LNC036505)". Lineage: Eukaryota; Viridiplantae; Streptophyta; Magnoliopsida; Solanales; Solanaceae. The record is from RNAcentral.
AAAAGACCUUGAGGGAUGAUCAAUUGAGUGGGAUAAUAGCGAAGACGAUCUUCUCUGGAGACCCCUGCCUGUUAGAAAUCCCGCAAUAUCAAACAUAAUCACCCUUGCCCUUGUUUCAACUUGAUACCAAGAAGGUUGAUGAGAAAAACUAGCUGUAUGGACACCUAAUAAUGAGCCAAAACAUAGAAAUAAAUUAGAAUUCUCUGAGAUGAGGCUAUGAAUCAGAGGGUUUGCUCAACUUGAUACCAAGAAGAUUGAUGAGAAAAACUAGCUGUAUGGACACCUAAUAAUGAGCCAAAAAAUAGAAACUAAUUAGAAUUCUCUGAGAUGGGGCUAUGUAUCAGACGAUUUGUGCAAGUAACCAAAGCUCUAAGUACUAUCAAUUUCUGAAGCAAAAUUGUUUAGUGCAUAUAUGCAAACCAUGCCAACCUUAGAGAAUAAAAUUGCCAAGCACCCAAUAAAACAAAGGAGAAAAAAUUGUGUUUAACAAGCAUGUAAGUUUCUAAUCAAAGGCCAUAUGGAGGUACAUAUAACCAAAAUAUCAGCAUUCCCCCAUACAAAGAGAGGAGUACAGCAGAUGUGCAGUUAAAGG